UCUGGGUAAGUCGGGGCCUAAGGCGAGGUCGAAAGACGUAGUCGAUGGAUAACAGGUUGAAAUUCCCGUACUAUCCUGUAACAGAACUGUGGGGACACAGGCAGAGAGCGUGAGCCGGGAAUGGAAAGACCGGUACAAGCGAGGUAGGAGAAGAGUUGGCAAAUCCGCUCUUCAAUCUGAAGACGUGAUGUGGACUGAAAAUAAGUAGGGAAGCACGUGAGCUGACUGUCAAGAAAAGCCGCUAUUGUUUGCAGGAUACCCGUACCGUAAACCGACACAGGUGGAUGAGGAGAGAAUCCUAAGGCCGACGGGAGAAGCAUUGUUAAGGAACUCGGCAAAAUGACUCCGUAACUUCGGGAGAAGGAGUGCCAGUAAGAUGGCCGCUGAGAAUUGGCCCAAGCAACUGUUUAGCAAAAACACAGGUCUAUGCAAAACCGAAAGGUGAGGUAUAUGGGCUGACGCCUGCCCGGUGCUGGAAGGUUAAGGGGAGAGGUUAGCGCAAGCGAAGCUUUGAACUUAAGCCCCAGUAAACGGCGGCCGUAACAAUAACGGUCCUAAGGUAGCGAAAUUCCUUGUCGGGUAAGUUCCGACCCGCACGAAAGGCGUAAUGAUUUGGGCACUGUCUCAACAAUGCACCCGGUGAAAUUGAAAUACCAGUGAAGAUGCUGGUUACCUGCGCCAGGACGGAAAGACCCCAUGGAGCUUUACUCCAGCUUGAUACUGGGAUUCGGUAUUGCAUGUACAGGAUAGGUGGGAGGCUAGGAAAUGGUAACGCCAGUUGCCAUGGAGCCAAUGUUGGGAUACCACCCUUGCAGUACUGGGUUUCUAACCAGCAGCCGUGAUCCGGCUGGGGGACAAUGUCAGGUGGGGAGUUUGACUGGGGCGGUCGCCUCCGAAAGGGUAUCGGAGGCGCUCAAAGGUUCCCUCAGAAUGGUUGGAAACCAUUCGAAGAGUGCAAAGGCAGAAGGGAGCUUGACUGCGACACCGACGGGUGGAGCAGGUACGAAAGUAGGACUUAGUGAUCCGGUGGUAUAAAGUGGGAUUGCCAUCGCUCAACGGAUAAAAGCUACCCUGGGAUAACAGGCUUAUCACUCCCAAGAGUUCACAUCGACGGAGUGGUUUGGCACCUCGAUGUCGGCUCAUCGCAUCCUGGGGCUGAAGUAGGUCCCAAGGGUUGGGCUGUUCGCCCAUUAAAGCGGUACGCGAGCUGGGUUCAGAACGUCGUGAGACAGUUCGGUCCCUAUCCGGCGUGGGCGUAAGAUAUUUGAGAGGAGCUGUCCUUAGUACGAGAGGACCGGGAUGGACUGGCCGCUGGUGUAUCUGUUGUCUUACCAAAGGCAUAGCAGAGUAGCCAAGCCGGGAAGGGAUAAACGCUGAAGGCAUCUAAGCGUGAAGCCCCCCUCAAGAUGAGAUAUCUCAUAACGUCAAGUUAGUAAGACCCCUUGAAGACGACGAGGUAGAUAGGGCAGAAGUGGAAGUGUGGUAACACAUGGAGCUGACUGUUACUAAUAGGUCGAGGGCAUAACC
RNAcentral lists this ribosomal RNA (1527 nucleotides) under metagenome. RNAcentral's name for it is "bacterial LSU rRNA". It matches the Rfam family "Bacterial large subunit ribosomal RNA", at positions 1374 to 2925 of the family's 2925-position model. The record is from RNAcentral.